Molecule: ribosomal RNA, 492 nt
Filed under: uncultured bacterium
Lineage: Bacteria
Description: partial 16S ribosomal RNA
Rfam family: Bacterial small subunit ribosomal RNA
Source: RNAcentral
AGUGAACGCUGGCGGUAGGCCUAACACAUGCAAGUCGAACGGCAGCACAGUAAGAGCUUGCUCUUACGGGUGGCGAGUGGCGGACGGGUGAGGAAUACAUCGGAAUCUACUUUUUCGUGGGGGAUAACGUAGGGAAACUUACGCUAAUACCGCAUACGACCUACGGGUGAAAGCAGGGGAUCUUCGGACCUUGCGCGAUUGAAUGAGCCGAUGUCGGAUUAGCUAGUUGGCGGGGUAAAGGCCCACCAAGGCGCCGAUCCGUAGCUGGUCUGAGUGGAUGAUCGCCCACACUGGAGCGGAGACACGGACCUGACUCCUACGGGAGGCAGCAGUGGCGAAUAUUGGACAAUGGUCGCAAGCCUGGUCCAGCCAUACCGCGUGGGUGAAGGAGGCCUUCGGGUUGUAAAGCCCGUUUGUUGGGAAAGAAAAGCAGCAGGUUAAUACCCCGCGGUUCUGACGGUACCCAAAGAAUAAGCACCGGCUAACUUCGUG